AUUUAUUCCCGAUAAAUUUGGAUUAAUUUUAAAUUUUGAAUAUUGUUACACAAAUAUGUAAAAAUUUAAGAUGGGGGUUAGAGGCUAUUCGACAUUUUUUAUUUCUGGUUGUUUUAUAAUUAUAAUUUGAUUAUUUUUGUUAAAACUUUUAAUAUUUUCAAUAGGUAAGUUUUUGUUAAUUUUUAAUAUAGUUGUUUGUUAUUUAUGAGUUAUAUUUGUAGUAUAUUGCUUAUAAUUGUUUUAUAACUUUUUUGGUAAUAUUAUUUUUUAUUAUUUUUUUAUAAAAUUUUUUAAUUUAUUUUUUAUGAUAUAAAAAUUAGUAGUGUAGAAUUUUUUUGUGAAAUGUUAUUAUUUUAUUUAUUGUAUUUUUAUUAAAAUAUUAUAAUUCGGCUAUUAGAAAGUUGUUUGUUUAUCAAAAGCUUACCUUUUUGUUUAUUUAAAAGGUAAGCCCUGCCCUAUGAUUUAUUUAAUGGCCGCUUUUGUGCUAAGGUAGCGUAGUAAUUUGGCUAUUAAUUGUAGUCUUGUAUGAUUGGGUUGACGGUUUUUUUCUAUUAAUUUUUUAUAAGGUGAAUUUUUUUGUUAGUUGAAAAAAUCUAAAUUGUAAUGAGAGACGAGAAGACCCUAUGAAGUUUUAUUAUAAAAUAUGAAUAAUUUUUCAUUAAUUAUUUUUAUUUUAUAAUUUGGCUGGGGUAGCUAUUAUUAAGUAUUAUUUAUUUUAGUAGAUCCAAAUUUUUUUGAUAAUAAGAUUAAAUUACUCUAGGGAUAACAGGAUAAUUUAUAUCAGAGAUGUUAUUUGUUUAUAAGAUUAUUACCUCGAUGUUGAAUUAAAGUUAAUGAUAGAAGCAUAGAAGCAGCAGUUUAAUUAUUAGGUUUGUUCAACCUUUGAAAUUUUACUUGAUUUGAGUUCAGAUCGGUGUGAGCCAGAUCGGUUUCUAUCUUUUUUUUGUCUAAGAUAGUACGAAAGGACCCCUUAGACUUUUUUCAGAUUAGCAUAAGUUUAUUGUGA
This 1006-nucleotide ribosomal RNA is filed under the name Symphylella sp. YG-2006. RNAcentral's name for it is "large subunit ribosomal RNA". Lineage: Eukaryota; Metazoa; Arthropoda; Symphyla; Scolopendrellidae. The record is from RNAcentral.